UACGUAGGGGGCGAGCGUUGUCCGGAAUUAUUGGGCGUAAAGAGCUCGUAGGCGGCUUGGCAAGUCGGAUGUGAAAACUCCAGGCUCAACCUGGAGCCGCCAUUCGAUACUGCUAUGGCUAGAGUCCGGUAGGGGAGUGUGGAAUUCCCGGUGUAGCGGUGAAAUGCGUAGAUAUCGUAAGGAAGACCAGUGGCGAAGGCGGGUCUCUGGACAGUUCCUGACGCUGAGGCACGAAGGCCAGGGGAGCAAACGGG
This 254-nucleotide ribosomal RNA is filed under the name uncultured bacterium. RNAcentral describes it as "partial 16S ribosomal RNA". It matches the Rfam family "Bacterial small subunit ribosomal RNA", at positions 524 to 776 of the family's 1533-position model. The record is from RNAcentral.